UCCUUGGUGGCUCAGAUGGUAAAGCAUCUGCCUGUAACGUGGAAGACCCAGGUUCGAUCUCUGGGUUGGGAA
Transfer RNA from Ovis aries (sheep), 72 nucleotides. It matches the Rfam family "tRNA". Rfam says of the family: Transfer RNA (tRNA) molecules are approximately 80 nucleotides in length. Their secondary structure includes four short double-helical elements and three loops (D, anti-codon, and T loops). Lineage: Eukaryota; Metazoa; Chordata; Mammalia; Artiodactyla; Bovidae. The record is from Rfam.